AGAUUUUAAUAUCAACAAUCGAUUGUACAAAAUCAACAAUGGAUUACCUGACGGUAUUUAAAACUUUACGACAACGGUCAGCUUCACAAUCGAUUUUGUAAUGUUAACAAUCGAUUAUUUAUCAGACUUUGAAAAUCAUUUUAGACAUUGCCUCGAGACAAUCGAUUGUUAUGUACUCACAAUCGAUUAUUUAAUAACUUUGAAAAAGUCUGAAAGUCACUGCCUCAACACAAUCGAUUGUCAUAAGUUCACAAUCGAUUAUUUUGUGACUUUGAAAAAUCUGAAGGACACUGUCUC
RNAcentral lists this long non-coding RNA (297 nucleotides) under Nicotiana benthamiana. RNAcentral's name for it is "long non-coding RNA (NBEN_LNC033679)". Lineage: Eukaryota; Viridiplantae; Streptophyta; Magnoliopsida; Solanales; Solanaceae. The record is from RNAcentral.